AAGGGAGACCUAAUUCCGGUAGGAGACGAAAAAAAAGUAGUCCCUACCAAGAAUCAAUCCCAAAAGGUCGAAGCGAGGCAAGAUUGGCUUUCAAACUAGGUUCUGGGUUCAAACAAGACCUGAAUCAGGAACAAGGGUUAUUAGCUCAGGUGGUUAGAGCGCACCCCUGAUAAGGGUGAGGUCCCUGGUUCGAGUCCAGGAUGGCCCACCUGCACAGGUGGCAAAAACAAAGAAGCGAGGAAUCAGCACCUUAUCUUACUCAUAUAGUAAGAGAGAAUGCUGGCUCUGAGUAAAGAGUCCAGAGGAACCUUGAAAACUGCAUAGAGCUAGGUGAAAAAGCCAAAAAAGAAGACCGCAA
This 358-nucleotide transfer RNA is filed under the name uncultured Microcystis sp. Its description in RNAcentral is "partial 16S-23S ribosomal RNA intergenic spacer". The stretch from base 135 to 208 matches the Rfam family "tRNA". Lineage: Bacteria; Bacillati; Cyanobacteriota; Cyanophyceae; Chroococcales; Microcystaceae. The record is from RNAcentral.